Molecule: ribosomal RNA, 497 nt
Filed under: uncultured bacterium
Lineage: Bacteria
Description: partial 16S ribosomal RNA
Rfam family: Bacterial small subunit ribosomal RNA
Source: RNAcentral
GAUGAACGCUGGCGGCGUGCCUAAUACAUGCAAGUCGAGCGAACGGACGAGAAGCUUGCUUCUCUGAUGUUAGCGGCGGACGGGUGAGUAACACGUGGAUAACCUACCUAUAAGACUGGGAUAACUUCGGGAAACCGGAGCUAAUACCGGAUGAUAUUUUGAACCGCAUGGUUCAAAAGUGAAAGACGGUCUUGCUGUCACUUAUAGAUGGAUCCGCGCUGCAUUAGCUAGUUGGUAAGGUAACGGCUUACCAAGGCAACGAUGCAUAGCCGACCUGAGAGGGUGAUCGGCCACACUGGAACUGAGAAACGGUCCAGACUCCUACGGGAGGCAGCAGUAGGGACUCUUCCGCAAUGGGCGAAGGCCUGACGGAGCAACGUCGCGUGAGUGAUGAAGGUCUUCGGAUCGUAAAACUCUGUUAUUAGGGAAGAACAUAUGUGUAAGUACCUGUGCACAUCUUGACGGUACCUAAUCAGAAAGCCACGGCUAACUACGUG